Molecule: ribosomal RNA, 254 nt
Filed under: uncultured bacterium
Lineage: Bacteria
Description: partial 16S ribosomal RNA
Rfam family: Bacterial small subunit ribosomal RNA
Source: RNAcentral
UACGGGGGGAGCAAGCGUUGUUCGGAUUUACUGGGCGUAAAGGGCGCGUAGGCGGCCACCGCAAGUCGGUUGUGAAAUCUCCGGGCUUAACCCGGAAAGGUCAAUCGAUACUGCGGGGCUAGAGUGCAGAAGGGGCAACUGGAAUUCUCGGUGUAGCGGUGAAAUGCGUAGAUAUCGGGAGGAACACCAGCGGCGAAGGCGGGUUGCUGGGCCGACACUGACGCUGAAGCGCGAAAGCUAGGGGAGCGAACGGG